Molecule: ribosomal RNA, 521 nt
Filed under: uncultured bacterium
Lineage: Bacteria
Description: bacterial SSU rRNA
Rfam family: Archaeal small subunit ribosomal RNA
Source: RNAcentral
AACCUCCGCAAUGUGAGAAAUCGCGACGGGGGGAUCCCAAGUGCCAUUCUUAACGGGAUGGCUUUUCAUUAGUGUAAAGAGCUUUUGGAAUAAGGGCUGGGCAAGACCGGUGCCAGCCGCCGCGGUAACACCGGCAGCUCUAGUGGUAGCAGUUUUUAUUGGGCCUAAAGCGUCCGUAGCCGGUUUAAUAAGUCUCUGGUGAAAUCCUGUAGCUUAACUGUGGGAAUUGCUGGAGAUACUAUUAGACUUGAGACCGGGAGAGGUUAGAGGUACUCCCAGGGUAGAGGUGAAAUUCUGUAAUCCUGGGAGGACCGCCUGUUGCGAAGGCGUCUAACUGGAACGGUUCUGACGGUGAGGGACGAAAGUUAGGGGCGCGAACCGGAUUAGAUACCCGGGUAGUCCUAACUGUAAACGAUGCGGACUUGGUGUUGGGGUGGCUUUGAGCUGUUCCAGUGCCGAAGGGAAGCUGUUAAGUCCGCCGCCUGGGAAGUACGGUCGCAAGAUUGAAACUUAAAGGAAGU